This 612-nucleotide ribosomal RNA is filed under the name Amanita sp. RNAcentral describes it as "eukaryotic LSU rRNA". It matches the Rfam family "Eukaryotic large subunit ribosomal RNA", at positions 52 to 631 of the family's 3401-position model. Lineage: Eukaryota; Fungi; Basidiomycota; Agaricomycetes; Agaricales; Amanitaceae. The record is from RNAcentral.
GGAGGAAAAGAAACUAACAAGGAUUCCCCUCGUAACUGCGAGGAAGCGGGAAGAGCUCAAAUUUGAAAUCUGGCAGUCUUUUUUUUCUUCUUGGGCUGUCCGAGUUGUAAUCUAGAGAAGUGCUUACGUGCGCUGGACCAUGUAUAAGUCUCCUGGAAUGGAGCGUCACAGAGGGUGAGAAUCCCGUCUUUGACAUGGACAGCCAGCGUGUUGUGGUGUGCUCUCAAAGAGUCGAGUUGUUGGGGAAUGCAGCUCUAAACGGGUGGUAAACUCCAUCUAAAGCUAAAUAUGGGCGAGAGACCGAUAGUGAACAAGUACCAUGAGGGAAAGAUGAAAAGGACUUUGGAAAGAGAGUUAAACGGUAUGUGAAAUUGUUGAAAGGGAAACGCUUGAAGUCAGUCCUGUUGGCUAGGGAUCAGCCCAAGCUAUUUUGACGGGUGAUUUUCGUGGUGUGACAGGCCUACUUCAGUCUGGGUUGUUGGAAAAGAGCAGAGGGAAUUUGGCACCUUCGGGUGUGUUUAUAGCCCUUUGUCAUGUGCGGCAGUUGGGAGUGAGGGAUGCAGCGUGCCAUGAGGCUGGGUUUCGACCACGUUCACGCUUAGGAUGUUGCCU